RNAcentral lists this unclassified non-coding RNA (388 nucleotides) under uncultured fungus. RNAcentral describes it as "sequence contains ITS1". The stretch from base 1 to 105 matches the Rfam family "5.8S ribosomal RNA", at positions 50 to 154 of the family's 154-position model. Lineage: Eukaryota; Fungi. The record is from RNAcentral.
GAAAUGCGAUACGUAGUGUGAAUUGCAGAAUUCCGUGAACCAUCGAAUCUUUGAACGCAUAUUGCGCUCGAGCCCUCGGGCAAGAGCAUGUCUGCCUCAGCGUCGGUUUACACCCUCACCCCUCCCUCUUUUUGUGGGUCAGUUGGCAUAUUGCCAGCCUAGGGGUGGAUCUGGCUUCCCCAAUCUGCCGCUUGGUGGGUUGGGUUGGCUGAAGUACAGAGGCUUAAGCAAGGACCCGAUAUGGGCUUCAACUGGAUAGGUAGCUCCGGCUUGUGCCGACUACACGAAGUUGUGGCUUGUGGAUCUUGCUAGGAGCCCAGCAGGAACGUGCCUUAGGCAUGUAUAAACAUUCGACCUGAGCUCAGGCAAGGCUACCCGCUGAACUUAA